Rhipicephalus sanguineus (brown dog tick) is the source of this 6986-nucleotide RNA transcript. It is a transcript of the gene named partitioning defective 3 homolog, with no coding region annotated. NCBI's taxonomy places the organism in Eukaryota, Metazoa, Arthropoda, Arachnida, Ixodida, Ixodidae. The transcript is spliced from 27 exons. The record is from RefSeq and is a predicted model, not a curated record.
CACCGUUGAGCCCACUCUCAAGUGUACAUUGUCGUGACGCCUGCUAUUCAAGUGUUACAGUUCGUGUGGCGCGCCGCGGCCUUUUCUUGGCACCGUGAGCUUUAAUUGGGGAGCGUUUCUCACCUUCCUUGCGCGCCCGUGCUCUGAAGAACACCAUCAAGUGUGACCGAGACAAGUUGGAUGGGCAUCGGGACCUUCUUUUGUCUAAACGUCUGACCUGGAUCUAUAUUGUUCGCGCGAGUGGUCGACGCAGUCGUCAUCGCAAGCGUGCUUCGAGUAAGCCCGCCUUCGAACUCUUCGCGCAGACGGCGAAAUCGCUCAUUGUCCACGAAGUGCCUCGCUGCCCUGCUCUUCUUCAGCCACCGGAGACAGUUCGGCGAGCAUCGCAGUUUUGUUCGGCACACAGUGCACCCUUCAGCAAAGCACUUCCCAGCGUGCAGUCACACCCCUUCACCCUCUUCGACCCCGUCGCCUCCCUCGCCUUGUGCCUCGGGAGUGAUCGUCUCUUUCUUGCCCCAUUUUACGUCUUUAACGCCACUGUUGUAGUUCUCAGAUCUGUGAUUGUGAAGUUGGCCGGCGACUCGGCCCUAUACUAGCGCACCUGCGCGAACCUUCGGAUUAAGGUAACCGCGUUCCCACGGGCCUCGGAGUCGCGGCUCUGUGCGUGAGUGUCGGGUUGCUGUGUGUGUUGUGCUUCGUGGUGAGAUGGUGCGGUGAGCGUGCGGCCCGAAGCAGCCAUGUCUGAGUUGGUGGCCAGGGCCGCGAAGAUCGCGGCCGGAUGCCUGACCCGCCGCUCCAAGCGCUACGACUUGGCCAAGGUGCACGCCAGGGGAUGCAUCGCGGCCGCAGCCCCUCCUCAGCCUCAAGACACCUGGGUUACUGUACAUAAUGUUAAAAGCUGUAAUGACGGGGGCAUCCUGGAUCUUGAUGACCACCUCAAUGACGUCGUCGAUGACAGGGAACAAAUCAUAGCCGUGUUUGAAGAGCAGUCAUCUCCCUGCCCAACUCAUAAUGCUGGAGACGGGACCAGCGCUAGUUCCGUGGGCACGGAGAGCCCCGACAUCUUCCACUGCAACGAGCUGAACCACAAUGGAGGCAUCAAGGGUGGUUCCAGCUACGUCGACGUGGAGGAAAUUACCGCAGACAAGCUUCCAGUGGGCGUCGCUCCCCUUCAGGUACGAAGGGGCAGUGAGCCGACGCUAAAUCGUCUUUCACCAGUUUCAUCUGAACCCGAUCCCAGCAAGAGGUGGUCAGCAGCUGUUGUUGUGGAUGACCUGUCGCUUACUCGAGACGUGAAGGAGAAUGGCAGCCUGUCAGACAAUGAGCUGCAGCCUCCUCCCCCACCUGGUGAGAGGGGUGAGGGAAGUGGCGGCGAAGAGAAGUCUAACGCGGGUACACUGUCGCGCAUUUCUCGGGGCUCUGGACGACUGUCCAUGCUGGGUAACAACCCCCACAUGCUUCGGUGGGCAGAGGCAGCUGACCGGCAGCUCUACAAGUUUCAAGACAGCAGGAAAGAACCGCUGGGCAGUGCUGGCUCUUCUCCUGACAGGGACAGUGCAGCUUCGUCAGGGAGCAGCCACGAAGAAAGGGACUCUAUAGUCGUACUCAAGAAUGAGGCUGGUCCACUGGGCAUCCAUGUUGUUCCGGAACAAGGCAGUGGGGGAAGGGACAUGGGCCUGGUGAUCCAGGGCAUUGAGCCUGGCGGCCGAAUAGACCGGGAUGGCCGGCUGCGGGUCGGCGACACCAUUGUGGAGGUCAAUGGCCGGAGCCUCCUGCACCUGAGUUUCCAGGCUGCACAGCAAGUGUUCAAGGAGGCGCUACAGUCUCAAGAAAUCUGCCUGCACCUGUCACGGCGGAGGCCGGCACAUUCAGGUUCCUCUCCCAUGUCAUCACCUCCUCCUCCUUUGCCCCUGUCACUGCCUCCGUCCCUGUCAUCAACACAAAGUAGCAGUGACGCUGGUUUUUCUUCUGUAACAUCCUCAAUGCAAAGCCCACCCAAGAGGCCGCCCCCGCCUCCAUUCCGCAAGGAUCCAUCUGAAGGGCUCAACAACGGUGUCGUCAACGGUCUCGUUGAGGGAGAGGAGAGGAGUGGUCUCAACAGUAAGGUGGCAACAGUGACGCCAACAAAAAAACUUCCGCCGCCUCCACCUUCUGCCACUGCCAAUGGACGAUCAACAGCUUCGAGCCUCAAUGUUGCCAACACGCGUAAGAUCGGCCGCAAGGUGCACAUAAAGUUGGUCAAGGGGCCCGAGGGAUUGGGCUUCAGUGUGACGACGCGAGACAACCCAGCUGGCGGGAACUGCCCCAUCUACAUCAAGAACAUCUUGCCUCGUGGCGCAGCCAUUGAUGAUGGCCGGCUCAGGCCGGGUGACCGGUUACUUGAGGUGAAUGGUGUAGAAAUGACAGGCCGGUCACAAACUGAUGCUGUCACAAUAUUGAGAAAUGCGCCACCUGGGAGCACUGUGGAAUUGGUUGUCUCCAGGCAGGAGCCUGACCCCUCACCUAGUCCUGGUCUUCCACGAGAAAUUCCCCCUGAGAAAGCUGGUGAUGAAGUCGGCAUUUUCCCUUGGCGUCAGAAGGAAAUUUUGACGCUUGACAUUCCACUCAAUGACACCGGUUCGGCUGGCCUUGGCGUAAGUGUCAAGGGCAAAACGUCGACUGGUGCCAGCACACCUGUCGACCUGGGCAUCUUCGUCAAAUCAGUGAUCCACGGCGGUGCUGCAUCUAAGGAUGGGCGCUUACGUACGAAUGACCAGCUACUCAACAUCAAUGGCAUCUCACUCCUGGGCAUGACCAACAGCCAAGCCAUGGAGACACUGCGUCGUGCCAUGACCCAAGGCGAGGGGCCCAACCCAAAUGCCAUCACCCUCACCAUAGCACGACGAGUGCCCUCGCAAGACGUUGCUGAAAACCUCAGGUUCGAGGAGGGCUUCCUGUCCAGUGGGGACUCGUUCUCGGUACACCUGCGAUCAGACUCGCUGCUCAGCUCAGACUCGACGGCUGCCUCCUCGUCCUGUGAAAACCUCUCGGUCUCAGGGGGCAGUGGUCGGACACCGGACCACUCCACAAGUGGCAACUCUGAAAACACUGUGGUCUACGUGCCCAAGCAGCCGCCUCCACCACCUGUGCACGAAUAUGGCUAUGGAAGGAAUCCCGUGCUGGAGCGGCUUAUGGGCCAGAGUUCUGGCACAUUGCCGUCCAACCUUCGCAACGAGUCAUACCUGCGUGCCAGUCAUGACAGCUGGCUCUCCGAACGGCACAGCCGGCAUCACACGGCGCCUCGCACCGCGCCCAACCACCGGCCCACUCCAUUGUCCCCCAACACCAGCCGGGUACCCGCAGACACGGUGCAGAUAGAGGACGACUACCCGAGCUGCUUGCGCGGUGGGGACACCUCUGUUCCACCCAUGACACCAGUUGAAGAAGAAGCCCCAACACCUACUCUUGGUCAUGAGAACAACAACCUCAAUCAGAGCGAGUUGUCCCUGGUAGACGGUGGCACCUUUUGUCGAGACGGCUUUGGCCGGCAGAGCAUCUCAGAGAAGAGGCAUGCCCACCUUGACGCUCGCAACACAGACACCUACAAGCGCAACAAGCGGACGCGAGAAGAACAGGAGAAGGCGAAUGCUCGGCAACAGCAAACUGAGGUCAAGACGUCAAUUUCACCCCCAACAAUCGGCAAUGGGUCACAUAGAGAUGUGGCUGAGCCUCGACGGCCCACGGCACUAAAUGGGAAGGAGCAGCACAAUGGCAACCUGAUGCGGUCCAACUCGGCGGAUUCCCUGUUGAGUCAUUCCAAGUCGCAUGGCGCCACUGAAUCCACAUAUCUAGUCAAAUGUCGGCAAGUGAGCAAGGUGCAUAGGAAUCCCUUGUUCUUCUAUCCAGCUUGUUGCUUUAUGGUGAAUGGUGACUCGCCAAGCACGGAUGCCAGCUGCCACACGACCAACACAACUGUGACCAAGAGCAACCACAGUGGCAGUGGCAAUGGCACAGUGCAGCUGGUGGGUCCUUCAUUGGGCAUGCGCAAGUCGAGCAGCCUCGAAAGUCUUCAGACUCUCAUGGUCCAGGGGCCAGAUGGCACUGUCAUGGCUUCCACAUCGCAGAAUCCCCGGCAAGAGCGUGGUGCCAGAGGCUGCAACGAGAGCUUCCGCGCAGCUGUUGACCGUUCUUAUGACGGGCCAAGCGCCGCUGGGACGCAGAAUUCUGCUGACCAAAUGGAAACACUGGAGGAGGAAAAGGAGAGUGAGACUGGCAGCGCAACAAGUGCCGAGCAUCGAGGUGGCUGCCCACUGCAUUCAGUCACGGUGCCUUUGGAUGCCCGCGAAGCUGCUGCCUACGCCAGCAAGGACACGGCUUCCUCUAAGCCAACACAGCGAAAGAAAGGGUUGCUCAAAGGUCUUGGCAGCGUGUUCAGUAGGUUUGGCAAGAACCGAAAGACGAUUCCGGAGCCGGGCUCCAAGCUCUCCCGAGAAGAACUCGAGCAAGAGGCAGAGCGUUUGCGAGCUAGGCAAGCAGCACGGGAUGAACAAGAACGCAUUCAAGAACAGUACAGGAAGCUGUUGGAACAGCAGCAGCAGCAACAGCAGCAGCAACAACAAGAGCAACAGCAGCGACAGCAACAGCAGCCAUCACAUCAGCACAUGCAGCCUUCCCAUCAGCCACCAUUGCCACCCUUGCCAACACAGCAGCAGCAGUACCAGCAGCACCAUCACUUUCAGAAUCAGCGUGGGCCUGUCCAACAUCAGCAGCCCCCGUGCUCGGUCUCCUCACCACCACCAUGUCCAAGCAGAAGCACGCCAACCACCACAAGUGCAGCGUCACGUCAGGAACGCAUGCAGCUGCUGAGAGCCCAGCACCAAAAGCGGCAUGUGGAGCGACAAGGCCACUAUCCACGAGACGACCUUGAAGAGUGGUAUGAGCAAGACCUACAACACAAGAUGCUGCGCAGCCCCGUGCCUCCGCAAGGCCGUCCUCUGCCGCCUGUGCCACACGCCUUGCCGCCACCUGCCUAUGGCACAUGCGGCUAUGCGCAGAGGGCAAUCCCUAAGGUACUACCACUUUGCCCACUCACAUGGGACCUCUCCUCCUUGACUGUAAAAAGGACAUGUUAUACUACUCAGAAGCGCACACAAUCUGUAAUGUAUGCAAGCUGUGUAUACUGUAAUAAACCAUUGGCUAACAGUUACACUAUGAGACGAGAGAGUGAUGUUGUCCACUCAAGGUCACAAAGUUUCGACAUAUUUAAGGAAAUGGAACGGCCAGGAAGCCGUGUUGGACUUGUAGACCCAACCCAGUACAGCCACUACGUCAACUUCAACGAGAUUCAGCUACACCUUCGGCAGUUCCAGCAGAAGCAGCAACAGCAGCAGCAGCAGCAGCAGCAGCAACAGCAGGUCUCUUCACAGUCUCGUGAUCCCACGUGCAGCAGUUCAUCACAGCCAGUGCCUCCACCACCGAUGUCCAAUCGGUCUCGUUCAGAACGCCCGUCAUCGAACUACUUUGAAUAUGAGACCGUCCAGGGCACUCCUUCAAAACCUCAAAAGGAGAGGAACGGCAUGGGACCCACGGAGUCGAGUUCACUCCCACGACACGCACACGUGGCCGGGCAUCGUAUGGUGUAUGCAAAGACGGUACCAACGCAACAGACAAUGCUACCCCCCCACAGUUCUCUGGGUAGUGGCAAUGGUGGUGUGAUGAUCAAGACUGUUCCGCGCGCUGCUCCGCGGGCGCAUCUCCAAACGGUGGCCGGCUACAGGAAUUCGCCAAACCACUUGUCACAGGUCUACGGCAUCACGUCGCGUCAUGACAUUGGACAACAGAUGCCUGGCUCCAAAGUGUGAAUGUUCCAGUGCUGCGUUCGGCCCUGUUGCGUCUUCAUUAUUAUUAUUUUUAAUUGUCGUGCUGUAUGAACACUAAGACACACGAGUGUAUAGCACUGGCAUUGAUUUCCACCAGUACCUCAUACCUCAGUGAUGUUCAUUUCGUGCAGAAAGCAGUGUGCGAUAUGGUUGGCUGGACCAGAAGAGUCAUCCGUCCGAGCUCGGCACCACUGCGGCUUGCCCUGUUGCCAUGCCCGAGCUAAUUUCUCUCUCUAUAUUUUCUAUUUCAAAUACGCGUGCAUCGCUAUUCAUGUUGCUAGCUGCACUGAGUUGAACAUUAAAGAAAAAGCGUGCCAUUUUUAUGCGAGGUAGUGACAACAGGAGGCGAAACUGAAUAGGAGCACCACUACCUCUGCUAUGCGUCCAGUGCUGUGUACUGUGUAGUGCCGACACAAGUGCAGCUGAUCGUAUUUUUAGAAUGCAAUUUUGUAUUGUUGUGAAAGCUACAUAGUGUGUUGUAAGGAAAUUGUUGCGUUUACGGCCAAUGAAAGACACCCUUUUUUUUCUUUACUAACAAACAGGAACAAAAGAAUGUGCAGGUGCCUUGCUGACUAUGUGUUUGUAAGAAUGUUUUCAUCUGCAUAAUUGUAAGGUGUUUGAUGAAAUCGUGCAACUCAUGGCCUUACAUUUGCUGUGAUGGGAGGAAAGUUAUGUUGAGUUCUCACACAUUGCUGGUGUUCAGCUGAUUUGUUCAGCUUGUUUCAUGUAUUUACCAUUCAUUAAUCUUCCCAUCAAGAAAAACUGUGCGCAUUGUAAGUGCGGGCCUUUUUCUCACAUGAAAUGUUGCUUUUUUUUUAUUGUUUUGUCCUUUGUAUAUACGUGUUUCUCUGUCUACUUUUUUUUAUGAUAAUUUUUUUUAUUGUUAUUGAAUGUGGCAGUGUGGCCUACGACAGCGUAAUCACGCCUUAGCACAUAUCUCUGCACCCUUUAUACAAGGCUGCGCAGCAGGACCGUUCAUUCCUGUUCUUUCUUGUAUCUUGUAAAAUUUUUCUAUGACAGUUUAUAUAUAUAAAUGAGAAAACAUCUUUUUAGGACAAGCCUUUGUAAGUCUGAUUCUACACUCAUUUUCCAUUUGAACGUACAGAAUAAAGAGGAAUGUACAGUUGA